CGAAAGCCUGACGGAGCAAGACCGCGUGAGGGAGGAAGGCUCUUGGGUUGUAAACCUCUUUUCUCAGGGAAGAAGCUCUGACGGUACCUGAGGAAUCAGCCUCGGCUAACUCCGUGCCAGCAGCCGCGGUAAUACGGAGGAGGCAAGCGUUAUCCGGAAUUAUUGGGCGUAAAGCGUCCGUAGGCGGCUAGAUAAGUCUGUUGUUAAAGCGUGCAGCUCAACUGCAUACGGGCAAUGGAAACUAUUUAGCUAGAGUGUGGUAGGGGUAGAGGGAAUUCCCGGUGUAGCGGUGAAAUGCGUAGAUAUCGGGAAGAACACCAGUGGCGAAAGCGCUCUGCUGGGCCACAACUGACGCUGAUGGACGAAAGCUAGGGGAGCG
RNAcentral lists this ribosomal RNA (379 nucleotides) under uncultured cyanobacterium. Its description in RNAcentral is "bacterial SSU rRNA". It matches the Rfam family "Bacterial small subunit ribosomal RNA", at positions 376 to 770 of the family's 1533-position model. Lineage: Bacteria; Bacillati; Cyanobacteriota. The record is from RNAcentral.